CAUGCAUGUCUAAGUAUAAGCAAUAUACAUAGUGAAACUGCGAAUGGCUCAUUAAAUCAGUUAUCGUUUAUUUGAUAGUACCUUACUACUUGGAUAACCGUGGUAAUUCUAGAGCUAAUACAUGCUAAAAACCCCGACUUCGGGAGGGGUGUAUUUAUUAGAUAAAAAACCAAUGCCCUUCGGGGCUCCUUGGUGAAUCAUGAUAACUUAACGAAUCGCAUGGCCUUGCGCCGGCGAUGGUUCAUUCAAAUUUCUGCCCUAUCAACUUUCGAUGGUAGGAUAGUGGCCUACCAUGGUAUCAACGGGUAACGGGGAAUUAGGGUUCUAUUCCGGAGAGGGAGCCUGAGAAACGGCUACCACAUCCAAGGAAGGCAGCAGGCGCGCAAAUUACCCAAUCCCGACACGGGGAGGUAGUAACAAUAAAUACUGAUACAGGGCUCUUUUGGGUCUUGUAAUUGGAAUGAGUACAAUUUAAAUACCUUAACGAGGAACAAUUGGAGGGCAAGUCUGGUGCCAGCAGCCGCGGUAUUCCAGCUCCAAUAGCGUAUAUUAAAGUUGUUGCAGUUAAAAAGCUCGUAGUUGAACCUUGGGCCUGGCUGGCCGGUCUGCCUCACCGCAUGUACUGGUUCGGCCGGGCCUUUCCUCCUGGGGAUCCGCAUGCCCUUCACUGGGUGUGUUGGGGAACCAGGACUUUUACUUUGAAAAAAUUAGAGUGUUCAAAGCAGGCCUUUGCUCGAAUACAUUAGCAUGGAAUAAUAGAAUAGGACGUGCGGUCCUAUUUUGUUGGUUUCUAGGACCGCCGUAAUGAUUAAUAGGGAUAGUCGGGGGCAUCAGUAUUCAGUUGUCAGAGGUGAAAUUCUUGGAUUUACUGAAGACUAACUACUGCGAAAGCAUUUGCCAAGGAUGUUUUCAUUAAUCAGUGAACGAAAGUUAGGGGAUCGAAGACGAUCAGAUACCGUCGUAGUCUUAACCGUAAACUAUGCCGACUAGGGAUCGGGCGAUGUUAUUCUUUUGACUCGCUCGGCACCUUACGAGAAAUCAAAGUCUUUGGGUUCUGGGGGGAG
This 1064-nucleotide ribosomal RNA is filed under the name Botryosphaeria quercuum. RNAcentral's name for it is "SSU rRNA". It matches the Rfam family "Eukaryotic small subunit ribosomal RNA", at positions 50 to 1123 of the family's 1831-position model. Lineage: Eukaryota; Fungi; Ascomycota; Dothideomycetes; Botryosphaeriales; Botryosphaeriaceae. The record is from RNAcentral.